Molecule: long non-coding RNA, 4648 nt
Organism: Nilaparvata lugens (brown planthopper)
Lineage: Eukaryota; Metazoa; Arthropoda; Insecta; Hemiptera; Delphacidae
Exons: 2
Source: RefSeq, a predicted model, not a curated record
UUUUAUUUAUUUUUCAAUUUCUAUUUGACCUACCAUUUUUCAAAAAUAAUAUAGUGUCUAAAAUGAAAAUAUUUGAAUGUGAAAGCACUGUCUGCAACAAAUUUAGGAAGGUAAUUUACUAUGUAGGGUCUUUUGUAUCGGUAUGCCUAUACUAACUUUUGUUCUCAAUUUCAGAAAUGGAGAAGAUGAGUGAGUCGAUGAAGAUUACGGAAGACCUAUUACCAACCAAAUCGAGGAAAAGAUAUGACGAUGCUUACGAAAAAUUUUUUCAAUGGCUGAAUGAAGAGGAAAUUGUGCCUACAGAAGUGUGUGAUGAAAUUUUAUUAGUGUAUUUGACCAAUUUAUCUAAAGUAUGUAGAGCUAGUACAGUUUGGUCCAAUUUUUCGAUGAUUAAGAGUUGUCUCAAUGUGAAGCACAACAUUGACUCAAAAUCAUUUACACUAUGCACUACAUUUCUGAAAAAGCUCAAUGUCAACUACAAACCUAAAAAAUCAAACGUUCUGACAGGUAACGAAGUAGUAAAGUUCAUGAAAGAAGCUCCAGACAGUGAAUGGCUUCUAACAAAGGCUAUUAUGGCUUUUGGUAUUUUUGGAGCUUGCCGAAUAGAUGAUCUUUUACAACUAAAUGUUGAUGAUAUUAAAGACAAUGGCAGUUUUAUGGCAGUAUUCCUUGAAGAAGGAAAAACUCAUUCGAAGAGAAGCUUCAUCAUAAAUGAUGAAGAUUGCCCUUUCAGCCCUUGUGAAUUGAUUCGCAAAUACAUAUCACUUCGUCCAUCAACUAUGAUAAGUAAAAGAUUAUUUAUAAAGUACAACCAGGGAAAGUGUUCAUCUCAGCAUGUAGGUAAAAAUACUAUAGCUGCUGUGCCAAAGAAAGUAGCUCAGUACCUUGGACUUGAUAAUCCUGAAAGUUAUACCGGCCAUGCACUAAGACUAACAUCAGCUUCAAUGUUAGUUGAAGGUUGAAGUGUCAAAAAAGCUCUUCAAUAAUGAAAAUUUAUUAUCACAUCUUAAAGAAAUAUAUUUGACAAAUAAAGUAUGAUUAACUAUUUUCAAAAAUAAUGAACAGUUAAAUUCAUCAGAUAUACCAGUAUCAGCUGUUUUUGUUGCAAGGCUGAGAUCUGGCAACCCUGUUCUCCUUUCUUCUUACACUGCCAUUACAACGUGACCUCACUAUACCAGCUGAUUGCAUGUCGGCAACAAAGACCUUAAAGAUGCAUAGACAUAGAUGCAUUUUAAGACCUUGAAGAUAUCUCUUUAAGGUCUUUGGUUGGCAAUAUUCAACUUGCACAUCAUAAAAUGGAUAUGUUCAGCUCUAGAAAAUGAACCACAAGUUUAUUUUUGUUCUAAAGAUGAUGAAUAAAUCCAAAGUAUUAAAUUUAAAAGGGUUAGGGGUUAGGUUUUAUUUAGUUUAUAUUUAUUAUGUUUCAUUAGGAUAGGUUAGGUUUUUGCUUAAAAAUUGCAAUAUGCUAGAAGGGGCUAGGGUCCAGGUAGAGUUAUGUUUUUUGAUGUUUCAAAUGUGAAAGGAUAGGUUAGGGGGUUAGGAUUUUGCUUUGAACCACAUGUUUCUGAACAUGUUCAUGAAAUGAACCACAUGUUUAUGUUCUGUUCUGAAGAUGACAAAUAAAUCUAAAGUAUUAAAUGUGAUAGGGUCAGGGGUUAGGUUUUAUUCAGGUUAUAUUUAAUAAUGUUUUAUCAGGAUAGGUUAUAUUUAUUAUAUUUCAUUAGGAUAGAUUAAUUUUCUGCUUCUUAUAAAUUUAUGAAUUCUGCUCUCUUUAAAUAAUUAAAGUAUUUACUCUCUCUAUAGUUGAAAUUGUGUUUAAUAAGCCUGCUAUUUGAAUGAACAUUAAGAUACAUUUUCAAUCCAAUUAUCUGGUUUUCCUAAAUUUAUGAAUUCUGUAAUCUUUGUAUUGAUAAAAUGGAAGAUCUCUUGUUUCGUUGAAAUAAUAUGUAGGUAGUACUAUUUCAUCAUUAUAAUUGAUAUGCUGAAAUAAAAAUUUUGUGGUGUGUUUUUUGAAAAUCCUUUAUCAUAAUCCCAUAUCUCCACAUUUUGAAAAUCCCAUACCGUAUCCAGAAUAUCCCUGUUCUUAGAUAUUAAAUAAUGAAGUUCUAUAAAGAUUGUGGUCAGUAGUUCAGUAUGUCCAUAGCAUUGACUAGACUAUAGACAAAAUCAUGCAUAGCAAAACUUGAUUAUUCAUAGUAAAUUUAAAAAUUUUUCAAUUUCCAUAUUUUAUAUAACUGACUAGAGUAGUAGAAUGGACUAGAGUAAUAGAAAAUGUUAUAUUCUGUCAAUUAAAUGAAAAAAAUUAUUAGGCGGAGUAAGGACUUUCAAGUCCUCUCUACCACCACUCAACCUCGCGCAAUCUGUAGUUUACGAAAAAAUAAUGGUUACUGCAACUUCAGUGACCAGUAGGAUACAUUCAAUAUACAGGAAUAAUUUUCCUGACAAUCAACAGAUCAGUUACUCGUUUAUUUAAGGAUUAUUAUUUUGCAUAACUUCUUACUAUGUAUUAUUUUUUAUCAAAUAAAAUUCAUAAUAAUUAAAAUCAUUUCAAAUUUCAUACAAAUAUUUUGCAAAUCUUAAGCACACGUGAAUAAAAUUGAUUUAAAAAGAAAAUUCAAGUAUAGGCCUACUAAAUAAAACAUCCAAAAAAAUUUAAAUUAAUUAAUAAUGAUGCCUCAUAAAUGAUUAAGUUUGUAGAGUUAAUAUUGAUUUUGUUGAACUUUUCCAUAAUUGAAGAGACUUGAAAUGUCAAAAAAUCCACUUCAUUUCAAGUCUCUUCAAUUAUGCCUCAUAAAACCUCAUGGAGUCAAUACCUCUUGUCAGUCUCACUUAUUCAAUUCAAAGAUUAUUAUUUGAUCCACAAAUGGUGACCACGUGCUCUCCUAAAAUUGAAAAAUUGUAGAUUUUUGUUAUUUGUUGUAACAUGUGUUCUAAACAUAUUGUAUUGUAAGAAUAUGGACGCUCUAGAGCUAGAAUAAUAAAAAGAACCGUUUCUCAAAACUAUUGAGAAUACAGUUGAAUAGCCUACCUAGCCAGACGACAGUGGUAUUCUUUUCAAAAUAGUUUGAAACUAAAUCAAUUCUUUCAUAGAAACUUGACAAUAUUCUUAACACUAUUUACAGACACGUUUACAAUAGAAACCACAUGGUCCACUGUGUUUUGUGUUAACCCUUGUAUAUAGCUAUAGCGUAAGUUGAUGGCAGGUAAAUGUAGAUUGCAUAUAGCAAUAUAGAUAUACAGUUAGGAGAGUAGUAGAAUAUAGAUAUUAUGUAGUUUACAAUGUUACCACGUGGUUAGCAUUAUGCUACAAUGUUACCACGUGGUUGGCAUAUGAUUAUUAUUGAAGCAACUAUUUGAUGAUCAAUUAUUUGAAUAAACAUGAUAUGAGUAGAUGUCUAUAUAGAUUAGGUCAUUAAGUAGGUUAGGCUAUGUAUAAAUCAUUCAAAAAAUAUAUGUUGUACAAUGAAUUAUAAUGUAAUAAUAUUAUUAAAAGCUAAGUGAGUUAGUUGAAUCCGGAUUCUUAUGCUAAGGAUGAAUUUAUAAAUAUAAUUAGGUAUGUUUGAUUGAAACAUGUUGACAAUUAGUAUAGUUAUACAAUGAGUAUGAGAAACCUGCUUAAUUAAUAAGUAUCUUAUUAAUUUGAUUUAUUCAAUUCAAUUUAUUGUAAUGAUGUACUGUAUGACAUUGUAUUUUAUUCUUCAUUUCAUGUAUUUAUUAUUGAAGUAUUUUCCAUAUUAGAUUUAUAAGAUUGAUUACUGUAUUAAUCAAAUUCGAUGAGUAUGUAUUCGAUUGUUAGUAUCCAAACUUCAGAGUUUAAAUAUUGGUAAAAUGUAUGAUAUCAUUUGUUUUAAUAAUGAAGGGGAGCCAUAGUUUAAAAUGAUAUAUUAUAAUAAACAUUAUAGUAAAUUUAAAUUGAUAUUUGAAUUCAGUUUGUAAACUGAAUAUUAGGCUGAAGAGUUUGAGUGUAGGUGGAGCUAGAGGGCGAAGGGUGAUGAGGGGUGGAAAAUCGUGGUGCUAGUAUAUAAGCAGGCAGACCAUGUCUUGCGAGGUUAGUCUCUUGGAUUUUGGACAGUGCUCAGUGUAGGAGUGGUUCUUUGGUUUCAGACUUCAAUUAUCCUAUAGGGAAUUGACUGAGCCAGUUAGAGUUUGUAUUUAGAAUUUUCAAUUUUUCUUAUUUCAAAUCCACACCACUCCACCCUAAAAAGCCCAAAUAAGUAUAUAAAAUUACAUAGCAUCAAAGUAAACAGCAAAUUUAAUUAUUAAGUUUUUCUAAAUACAAAUCUGUAGAUACAGUUUUAAUUAACUUCUUGAAGCUUACAGUCGAAAUUUUCUUCCAAGCACAAAUAAUAGUUUAUUAAAGCAAGGCUCCUCUAAUCACAAUCAUUCUUUAAAAUUUAUUAAUUCUUUUAUUUUUGACUGUAAUCGUAUUUUUAACUAGAGGUGUUCAAUAUUUAGAUUUUACAUUUUACUCUUCAAAUAACUAAAUAAAUGGGAACUGUUUGUUAAAUUUUACUGUAUAAAAUUAAACUUGAACUGUAGUACUUUCAAAACUCAAUCAUCUUGUAUAUUUUAAAUCAUUACUAUAUUUUAAUCAAUUUUUAUAAAUUCAUUUCAAUUUAAAGUGUAUUAAUAAAUUCAUAAUUAACAU